RNAcentral lists this ribosomal RNA (301 nucleotides) under uncultured bacterium. RNAcentral describes it as "partial 16S ribosomal RNA". It matches the Rfam family "Bacterial small subunit ribosomal RNA", at positions 509 to 807 of the family's 1533-position model. The record is from RNAcentral.
CAGUAGCCGCGGUAAUACGAAGGGGGCUAGCGUUGCUCGGAAUGACUGGGCGUAAAGGGCGCGUAGGCGGACGGCACAGUCAGAUGUGAAAUUCCCGGGCUUAACCUGGGGGCUGCAUUUGAUACGUGUUGUCUAGAGUGAGGAAGAGGGUCGUGGAAUUCCCAGUGUAGAGGUGAAAUUCGUAGAUAUUGGGAAGAACACCGGUGGCGAAGGCGGCGACCUGGUCCUUUACUGACGCUGAGGCGCGAAAGCGUGGGGAGCAAACAGGAUUAGAUACCCCUGUAGUCCCUGUCUCUUAUAC